Molecule: ribosomal RNA, 253 nt
Filed under: uncultured bacterium
Lineage: Bacteria
Description: partial 16S ribosomal RNA
Rfam family: Bacterial small subunit ribosomal RNA
Source: RNAcentral
UACGGGGGGAGCAAGCGUUGUUCGGAUUUACUGGGCGUAAAGGGCGCGUAGGCGGCACUGCAAGUCAGUUGUGAAAUCUCCGGGCUUAACCCGGAAAGGUCAACUGAUACUGCAGGGCUAGAGUGCAGAAGGGGCAACUGGAAUUCUCGGUGUAGCGGUGAAAUGCGUAGAUAUCGGGAGGAACACCAGUGGCGAAGGCGACUACCUGGCCUGUUCUUGACGCUGAGGCGCGAAAGCUAGGGGAGCAAACGGG